Molecule: ribosomal RNA, 474 nt
Filed under: Triticum aestivum (bread wheat)
Lineage: Eukaryota; Viridiplantae; Streptophyta; Magnoliopsida; Poales; Poaceae
Description: partial small subunit ribosomal RNA
Source: RNAcentral
AUGGAGCAUUUGGUCGAAUUAUACAGCGGGUGGGAAAUCCAACUUCUUGUACUGCUCAGCUUCACAUUGCAGUCGUUCCUCUUCUUUGCUGGCAGACUGCGGCGCCGAAGCAGCAACAGCUUUCUCAGGCUCUGCCUCUGGGCAGUUUAUUUGGGGGCAGACUUGGUAGCAGUGUAUGCACUGGGCUAUCUCUCUAAGCGCCAGGAUGUCACCAUUGAAACGAACGUACUUACAAGAACCCAACCACUAGCUUUCUUUUGGGCACCAUUCCUCCUCAUCCAUCUUGGUGGGCAGGAUACCAUCACUGCUUUCGCCAUGGAGGACAACAACUUGUGGUUGAGGCAUCUGUUGAAUCUGGUGAUGCAAGUUUCCCUGGCUUUAUAUGUUUUUUGGAAGUCCAUUGGUAAACACAGUGCGAACCUUCUGCUUGCGGGUAGCUUUGUGUUUGUUACUGGAAUUAUCAAGUAUGGAUAA